Molecule: ribosomal RNA, 1010 nt
Filed under: Bacillus pumilus
Lineage: Bacteria; Bacillati; Bacillota; Bacilli; Caryophanales; Bacillaceae
Description: bacterial SSU rRNA
Rfam family: Bacterial small subunit ribosomal RNA
Source: RNAcentral
GCGCGUGCUAUACUUGCAAGUCGAGCGGACAGAAGGGAGCUUGCUCCCGGAUGUAGCGGCGGACGGGUGAGUAACACGUGGGUAACUGCCUGUAAGACUGGGAUAACUCCGGGAAACCGGAGCUAAUACCGGAUAGUUCCCUGAACCGCAUGGUUCAAGGAUGAAAGACGGUUUCGGCUGUCACUUACAGAUGGACCGCGGCGCAUAGCUAGUUGGUGGGGUAAUGGCUCACCAAGGCGACGAUGCGUAGCCGACCUGAGAGGGUGAUCGGCCACACUGGGACUGAGACACGGCCCAGACUCCUACGGGAGGCAGCAGUAGGGAAUCUUCCGCAAUGGACGAAAGUCUGACGGAGCAACGCCGCGUGAGUGAUGAAGGUUUUCGGAUCGUAAAGCUCUGUUGUUAGGGAAGAACAAGUGCGAGAGUAACUGCUCGCACCUUGACGGUACCUAACCAGAAAGCCACGGCUAACUACGUGCCAGCAGCCGCGGUAAUACGUAGGUGGCAAGCGUUGUCCGGAAUUAUUGGGCGUAAAGGGCUCGCAGGCGGUUUCUUAAGUCUGAUGUGAAAGCCCCCGGCUCAACCGGGGAGGGUCAUUGGAAACUGGGAAACUUGAGUGCAGAAGAGGAGAGUGGAAUUCCACGUGUAGCGGUGAAAUGCGUAGAGAUGUGGAGGAACACCAGUGGCGAAGGCGACUCUCUGGUCUGUAACUGACGCUGAGGAGCGAAAGCGUGGGGAGCGAACAGGAUUAGAUACCCUGGUAGUCCACGCCGUAAACGAUGAGUGCUAAGUGUUAGGGGGUUUCCGCCCCUUAGUGCUGCAGCUAACGCAUUAAGCACUCCGCCUGGGGAGUACGGUCGCAAGACUGAAACUCAAAGGAAUUGACGGGGGCCCGCACAAGCGGUGGAGCAUGUGGUUUAAUUCGAAGCAACGCGAAGAACCUUACCAGGUCUUGACAUCCUCUGACAACCCUAGAGAUAGGGCUUUCCCUUCGGGGACAGAGUGACAGG